RNAcentral lists this ribosomal RNA (200 nucleotides) under uncultured bacterium. RNAcentral's name for it is "partial 16S ribosomal RNA". It matches the Rfam family "Bacterial small subunit ribosomal RNA", at positions 1301 to 1500 of the family's 1533-position model. The record is from RNAcentral.
UAGGCUGCAGCUCGCCUACAUGAAGUUGGAAUCGCUAGUAAUCGCGAAUCAGAAUGUCGCGGUGAAUACGUUCCCGGGUCUUGUACACACCGCCCGUCACACCACGAGAGUUUACAACACCCGAAGUCAGUGGCCUAACCGCAAGGAGGGAGCUGCCUAAGGUGGGGUAGAUGAUUGAGGUGAAGUCGUAACAAGGUACC